GCCUGGGUGGCUCAGUUGGUUAAGUGUCUGACUUCAGCUCAGGUCACGAUUUCGUGGUUCAUGAGUUCGAGCCCCAUAUCUGGCU
Molecule: non-coding RNA, 85 nt
Organism: Felis catus (domestic cat)
Lineage: Eukaryota; Metazoa; Chordata; Mammalia; Carnivora; Felidae
Source: Rfam